This 253-nucleotide ribosomal RNA is filed under the name uncultured bacterium. Its description in RNAcentral is "partial 16S ribosomal RNA". It matches the Rfam family "Bacterial small subunit ribosomal RNA", at positions 524 to 776 of the family's 1533-position model. The record is from RNAcentral.
GCCGGAGGAGGCAAUCGUUAUCCGGAAUUAUUGGGCGUAAAGCGUCCGCAGGUGGCGAUUCAAGUCUGCUGUCAAAGGUCGGGGCUUAACCCCGGGAAGGCAGUGGAAACUGAAUAGCUAGAGUGCGGUAGGGGCAGAGGGAAUUCCCGGUGUAGCGGUGAAAUGCGUAGAGAUCGGGAAGAACACCAGUGGCGAAAGCGCUCUGCUGGGCCUGCACUGACACUGAGGGACGAAAGCUAGGGGAGAGAAAGGG